This is a long non-coding RNA of Dermochelys coriacea (leatherback sea turtle), 428 nucleotides long. RefSeq lists it as uncharacterized. The transcript is spliced from 2 exons. Lineage: Eukaryota; Metazoa; Chordata; Testudines; Dermochelyidae. The record is from RefSeq and is a predicted model, not a curated record.
GAGACCACACUCCUCCUGUCGGACAGCUCCAGCCAGCACAGGGUGACUGGGUCUACAUAAAGGUCCAUCAACGAAAGACUACUCUAGCCCCAUGCUGGAAAGGCCCUUAUUAAGUCCUGCUAACUACCAACACUGCUGUGAAGUGCCAAGGACUGACUGCCUGGACCCAGGCUUCUUCCUGCAAAAAAACCCCUCCAUCUCGAGAUGACUUCACUUCGAUUACUGAUCAGCCUGUCCCUCCUUCUGGGUUUUUUCUUUCCUCCUUUUGGACAGCAGGGGAAAGGACAAGGUGAAGUGCUAGUAACCUCUCCCAUGUCCACUGACAGAGCUAACCUGCAUUCAACAUUUGCUAAAGAAACCAAAGCACUACAGGGUGACGUGUUAGUAACCUCUCCCCUGUAUAAUGCAAACCCACGACUGUUCCAAGA